AUGUCCGGAGGUGUGCCAGAAAGGUCUGGACCCUAAAACCCGCCGAGCACCUCGCAGAGCAACCCGCGCUGCUGUCUGUGGGACAGCACCUGUGCCUGCCCCGUGCGCAGCUAAGGGGGCCGCUGUGGAGGGCUCCCGAGCUGAAGCAAAGCGACCAAAAUCUAAUGCCCCCCCAGCCUACGGAAGACUCUAGGGGGGAAAAUGUUGGUGCUGUGCACAAGGACUGAGCUGCUGUUGGCAUUAACUGAAGGCGCUUUGAGAGUUUCCACCUGUCUGCAUUAAUGACACUUUUGGUCCAAUAUGACUAGAAUGUAUGAGGAAAAGUGGCAGGUGAUACAAAAGUCUGAAGACUUGGGCGCUGUUACCUAUUCCUGGCGGAAAGGAGCAAAGCGAACAGCAAAGAGACAUUUUGCGUCGGGGCUGCCUCGCUGAGGCUGUCCGCAGCGGGGCAGGGGAUGCAUCUGCUUGGCUGCUCCGUGUGCGUGUGCCUUCUCCAAGCGCCGCUGCAGAUUGCAUCUAAACUGAAGCAGAUGACAGCCCGGAUGAAUAAUUUAGAGCUCCGCGGAGGAAGGAGCCGCAGUGCAGGCGGGAUGGAGGAGCAGCAGAGGGAAGGCGAGGAGAAGCUGUAAGGCUGCUGGAGCAUGGAGGAAGGUAAAGAUGGCCUCGUGAGCGGCCGACUACACUGCUGGGAAAUGAAACUCAUUUGCUGAACUUCCUCCCCUCAGGUAUGGCCUAAAGAGACGGAGCCAAAAAUAAUUCGGUCUGUAGCAGACAUGUGGCCACCUGAGCUGAUCUGGGGUGCGCAGAGCUCUUGAGUUUCCACUAAUGCUCGCCUCAGGCAAAAGAUUUAAUUAGCCCAGAUGCUGGAAAAGCCUCUGUUUUUCC
This is a long non-coding RNA of Nothoprocta perdicaria, 885 nucleotides long. RefSeq lists it as uncharacterized. The transcript has 2 exons. The record is from RefSeq and is a predicted model, not a curated record. NCBI's taxonomy places the organism in Eukaryota, Metazoa, Chordata, Aves, Tinamiformes, Tinamidae.